UGUAUACUCCCUCCGCCCGGAAUUACUUGUCGGAGAAAUGAAUGUAUCUAGACGUAUUUUAGUUCUAGAUAUAUCCAUUUCUCCGACAAGUAUUUCCGGACGGAGCGAGUAUAUA
This is a non-coding RNA of Triticum aestivum (bread wheat), 115 nucleotides long. Lineage: Eukaryota; Viridiplantae; Streptophyta; Magnoliopsida; Poales; Poaceae. The record is from Rfam.